RNAcentral lists this ribosomal RNA (465 nucleotides) under uncultured bacterium. Its description in RNAcentral is "partial 16S ribosomal RNA". It matches the Rfam family "Bacterial small subunit ribosomal RNA", at positions 28 to 507 of the family's 1533-position model. The record is from RNAcentral.
GACGAACGCUGGCGGCGUGCUUAACACAUGCAAGUCGAACGGAAAGGCCCCUUCGGGGGUACUCGAGUGGCGAACGGGUGAGUAACACGUGAGUAACCUGCCCUUGACUUCGGGAUAACUUCAGGAAACUGGGGCUAAUACCGGAUAGGAAUCCUUGCUGCAUGGUGGGGGUUGGAAAGCUUCGGCGGUUUUGGAUGGACUCGCGGCCUAUCAGCUUGUUGGUGGGGUAGUGGCUUACCAAGGCUUUGACGGGUAGCCGGCCUGAGAGGGCGACCGGCCACAUUGGGGCUGGGGUACGGCCCAGACUCCUACGGGGGGCAGCAGUGGGGAAUAUUGCACAAUGGGCGGGAGCCUGAUGCAGCAACGCCGCGGGCGGGAAGACGGCCUUCGGGCUGUAAACCGCUUUCAGCAGGGGCGAAGCUUGUGGUGACGGUACCUGCAGAAGAAGCACCGGCUAACUACGUG